This 189-nucleotide ribosomal RNA is filed under the name uncultured bacterium. RNAcentral describes it as "partial 16S ribosomal RNA". It matches the Rfam family "Bacterial small subunit ribosomal RNA", at positions 1311 to 1500 of the family's 1533-position model. The record is from RNAcentral.
UUCGCCUUCAUGAAGCCGGAAUUGCUAGUAAUGGCAGGUCAGCAUACUGCCGUGAAUACGUUCCCGGGCCUUGUACACACCGCCCGUCACACCAUGAGAGUUGGGAAUACCCGAAGCCUGUGAGCUAACUUUUAGAGGCAGCAGUCGAAGGUAGAAUCAAUGAUUGGGGUGAAGUCGUAACAAGGUACC